This 523-nucleotide long non-coding RNA is filed under the name Lepisosteus oculatus (spotted gar). RNAcentral describes it as "lncRNA (ENSLOCG00000022822.1)". Lineage: Eukaryota; Metazoa; Chordata; Actinopteri; Semionotiformes; Lepisosteidae. The record is from RNAcentral.
AGAAAAGACAAAUUCCUAAUACAAGAAAUUGUAUAUGGCCAAUAAAGUGAUCUGAAUAUUACUGCUGUUUAAUUUAAAGAUGAUUCUUUUUCAGUAAUAAUUAAGGAUGAUAGACAGAGCAAUGAUGGAGUUAAAGCCGGCAGCCUAAUGAAGAAGAGAAAGAGAAGACAACAAGUUGAUCCUGAGGUUGGCCAGAUAUAUCAUGGUACAGCUGUGGAGAAGACACACAGACAGACACUGAGAGUGACACAGUGUAACACACACAUGAGCACAAACAGACACUGGGAGAUACUGACAGACAGAAACACAAGCUCGUAGAAACACACACACACAGCUGCAGUGAUGGAGUUGUUCGUGUGCAGGAUGUUUCAGUGGUGGGGAACAGCAAGCCUGUAUUUGGCCUGACUAAUUUUGCUGUGCAUGUGCGCUCAUUGUCUCAUUAGCACUGAGUUCUACCUGUUUUCUUGCCUAAAUGUUAACUGUAACAUAAGAACUGUUGGCAAAUCUGCCUGGGGUUUCUGUC